CCUACGGGAGGCAGCAGUGGGGAAUAUUGGACAAUGGGGGGAACCCUGAUGGUGCGACGCCGCGUGGGGGAAUGAAGGUCUUCGGAUUGUAAACCCCUGUCAUGUGGGAGCAAAUUAAAAAGAUAGUACCACAAGAGGAAGAGACGGCUAACUCUGUGCCAGCAGCCGCGGUAAUACAGAGGUCUCAAGCGUUGUUCGGAAUCACUGGGCGUAAAGGGUGCGUAGGCUGUUUCGUAAGUCGUGUGUGAAAGGCGCGGGCUCAACCUGCGGACGGCACAUGAAACUGGGAGACUGGAGUGAGUGAGGGGGAAGCGGAAUUCUCGGUGUAGGAGUGAAAUGCGUAGAUAUCGGGAGGAACACUCGUGGCGAAGGCGGGUUCCUGGACAUUAACUGACGCUGAGGCACGAAGGCCAGGGGAGCGAAAGGGAUUAGAUACCCGUGUAGUC
Molecule: ribosomal RNA, 446 nt
Filed under: uncultured bacterium
Lineage: Bacteria
Description: partial 16S ribosomal RNA
Rfam family: Bacterial small subunit ribosomal RNA
Source: RNAcentral